GUGCCAGCCGCCGCGGUAAUACGGAGGGAGCUAGCGUUGUUCGGAAUUACUGGGCGUAAAGCGCGCGUAGGCGGCUAUUCAAGUCAGGGGUGAAAUCCCGGGGCUCAACCCCGGAACUGCCUUUGAAACUGGAUGGCUAGAAUCUUGGAGAGGUCAGUGGAAUUCCGAGUGUAGAGGUGAAAUUCGUAGAUAUUCGGAAGAACACCAGUGGCGAAGGCGACUGACUGGACAAGUAUUGACGCUGAGGUGCGAAAGCGUGGGGAGCAAACAGGAUUAGAAACCCCGGUAGUCC
Molecule: ribosomal RNA, 292 nt
Filed under: uncultured bacterium
Lineage: Bacteria
Description: partial 16S ribosomal RNA
Rfam family: Bacterial small subunit ribosomal RNA
Source: RNAcentral